RNAcentral lists this ribosomal RNA (301 nucleotides) under uncultured bacterium. Its description in RNAcentral is "partial 16S ribosomal RNA". It matches the Rfam family "Bacterial small subunit ribosomal RNA", at positions 509 to 807 of the family's 1533-position model. The record is from RNAcentral.
CAGUCGCCGCGGUAAUACGAAGGGGGCUAGCGUUGUUCGGAUUUACUGGGCGUAAAGCGCACGUAGGCGGACUUUUAAGUCAGGGGUGAAAUCCCGGGGCUCAACCCCGGAACUGCCUUUGAUACUGGAAGUCUUGAGUAUGGUAGAGGUGAGUGGAAUUCCGAGUGUAGAGGUGAAAUUCGUAGAUAUUCGGAAGAACACCAGUGGCGAAGGCGGCUCACUGGACCAUUACUGACGCUGAGGUGCGAAAGCGUGGGGAGCAAACAGGAUUAGAUACCCCUGUAGUCCCUGUCUCUUAUAC